This 388-nucleotide ribosomal RNA is filed under the name uncultured eukaryote. RNAcentral's name for it is "partial 18S ribosomal RNA". It matches the Rfam family "Eukaryotic small subunit ribosomal RNA", at positions 592 to 976 of the family's 1831-position model. The record is from RNAcentral.
CAAUAGCGUAUAUUAAAGUUGUUGCAGUUAAAAAGCUCGUAGUUGGAUUUCUGAUCGAGACAUCAGGUCGGGUCCGAGAGGAUCAUGUACUUUGAUUUUGUUUUGAUCAUCCUUGGGGAGAGUAUUUCUGGCAUUCAGUUGUCGGGAUUGGGAUCCUCAUCGUUUACUGUGAAAAAAUUAGAGUGUUCAAAGCAGGCCUCGGCCUCUGAAUACAUUAGCAUGGAAUAAUAAGAUAGGACUUUGGUGGUCUAUUUUGUUGGUUUGCACGCCAAAGUAAUGAUUAAUAGGGAUAGUUGGGGGUAUUCGUAUUCAAUUGUCAGAGGUGAAAUUCUUGGAUUUAUGGAAGACGAACUACUGCGAAAGCAUUUACCAAGGAUGUUUUCAUUAA